GAUGAACGCUGGCGGCGUGCCUAAUACAUGCAAGUCGAGCGAACAGAUGAGGAGCUUGCUCCUCUGACGUUAGCGGCGGACGGGUGAGUAACACGUGAAUAACCUACCUAUAAGACUGGGAUAACUUCGGGAAACCGGAGCUAAUACCGGAUAAUAUAUUGAACCGCAUGGUUCAAUAGUGAAAGACGGUUUUGCUGUCACUUAUAGAUGGAUCCGCGCCGCAUUAGCUAGUUGGUAAGGUAACGGCUUACCAAGGCGACGAUGCGUAGCCGACCUGAGAGGGUGAUCGGCCACACUGGAACUGAGACACGGUCCAGACUCCUACGGGAGGCAGCAGUAGGGAAUCUUCCGCAAUGGGCGAAAGCCUGACGGAGCAACGCCGCGUGAGUGAUGAAGGUCUUCGGAUCGUAAAACUCUGUUAUUAGGGAAGAACAAAUGUGUAAGUAACUAUGCACGUCUUGACGGUACCUAAUCAGAAAGCCACGGCUAACUACGUG
This 497-nucleotide ribosomal RNA is filed under the name uncultured bacterium. RNAcentral describes it as "partial 16S ribosomal RNA". It matches the Rfam family "Bacterial small subunit ribosomal RNA", at positions 28 to 507 of the family's 1533-position model. The record is from RNAcentral.